AUAUUAUUAGUAUAAUUAGUAUAUAAGUCUUCCAAACUUAAGGCCCAAAUAAUUUUGGAUAAUAUA
RNAcentral lists this transfer RNA (66 nucleotides) under Novaculina chinensis. RNAcentral describes it as "tRNA-Gly". The record is from RNAcentral. Lineage: Eukaryota; Metazoa; Mollusca; Bivalvia; Adapedonta; Pharidae.